AUUUCAUCGAUUGUAACUAUGUCGAAGGCGAUGACUGUAAUUCGGCUUCUAAUGACCACGAUGUUGAUAUUGAAAUCAUUGAAAUCAUGAAUCCAAAAAAAGCGAGCUACUUUUAUUAUGAUAACUCCACGAUCAUGGAGCACAGUUAUGGUGAAAAUUCACAAAAUUUACAAGAUCCAAUAAAUUGUGAAAAUAAGAGUGACAAGAAAUUUUGAUGUUCACUAUAAGAAUAAAGGUGUCAAACGAAAAAGAGGUAAGAAAAGAUCGGAACUUUUCUUUCCCCGUAAAAAGAAACGAACUGAAAACACUGAAAAAAUAAAUCGGCAAAUUAUCAAGACGGAACCAUCUGAAGAAAUAGUAGCAACAAGAAAAUAUCGUUUUUAUUGCAGCGCAUGCGAAAUCACUUAUCCGGAAUUUUCGGAAGAAAGUAUGAAAAAAUGUCCUCAGUGCAAUACCACGAUCAUGUUUCAGUGUAAUUGUUGCGCGAAAGUAUUCCAUAAUAGGUAUAAUGCUCA
Trichogramma pretiosum is the source of this 515-nucleotide long non-coding RNA. RefSeq lists it as uncharacterized. Lineage: Eukaryota; Metazoa; Arthropoda; Insecta; Hymenoptera; Trichogrammatidae. The transcript is spliced from 5 exons. The record is from RefSeq and is a predicted model, not a curated record.